UACGUAGGGGGCAAGCGUUGUCCGGAUUUAUUGGGCGUAAAGAGCGUGUAGGCGGUCAGGUAGGUCCGUUGUGAAAACUCGAGGCUCAACCUCGAGACGCCGAUGGAAACCAUCUGACUAGAGUCCGGAAGAGGAGAGUGGAAUUCCUGGUGUAGCGGUAAAAUGCGCAGAUAUCAGGAAGAACACCCGUGGCUAAGGCGGCUCUCUAGUACGGUACUGACGCUGAGACGCGAAAGCGUGGGGAGCGAACAGG
Molecule: ribosomal RNA, 253 nt
Filed under: uncultured bacterium
Lineage: Bacteria
Description: partial 16S ribosomal RNA
Rfam family: Bacterial small subunit ribosomal RNA
Source: RNAcentral